This 496-nucleotide ribosomal RNA is filed under the name uncultured Glomeromycotina. Its description in RNAcentral is "partial small subunit ribosomal RNA". It matches the Rfam family "Eukaryotic small subunit ribosomal RNA", at positions 591 to 1092 of the family's 1831-position model. Lineage: Eukaryota; Fungi; Glomeromycota. The record is from RNAcentral.
CCAAUAGCGUAUAUUAAAGUUGUUGCAGUUAAAAAGCUCGUAGUUGAAUUUCGGGGUUCUACCGUUGGUCGGGCAAUAGUCUGUACUGGCGUGUGGAAUUUCUACCUUCUGGGGAACCAUCAUGUUAUUAAUUUAGCGUGGUGGGAAACCAGGACCUUUACCUUGAAAAAAUUAGAGUGUUCAAAGCAGGCUUACGUCUGAAUACAUUAGCAUGGAAUAAUAAAAUAGGACGGUGGUCCUGUUUUGUUGGUUUCUGAAUCACCGUAAUGAUUAAUAGGGAUAGUUGGGGGCAUUAGUAUUCAAUUGUCAGAGGUGAAAUUCUUGGAUUUAUUGAAGACUAACUUCUGCGAAAGCAUUUGCCAAGGAUGUUUUCAUUAAUCAAGAACGAAAGUUAGGGGAUCGAAGACGAUCAGAUACCGUCGUAGUCUUAACCAUAAACUAUGCCGACUAGGGAUCGGACGAUGUUAAUUUUUCUUGACUCGUUCGGCGCCUUACG